CGGGGAGGCAGCUUUCCGGAGGGCGACCCCCGUUCCUCCCCGUGAGGCCGGUGGCGGUGGCCGGGCCGGUCACCUCCCUGUUGCUGUCUGAAACGCACUCGCAGAGGCCAACUGUUGGGCGCAGCCGGACGAGCGACGCUGGGUCCGCUCACGGAGCAGAGAGCCGAACGCCCCGGGGUUCAGAAAGCACCACGCAUGGAGCUGGCCGCUGGCCAGCAGCACCUAGCCGAGGAGUGAGCGGUUUGAGCCCUGGGGGCCAAGCCUCCAUUCCGAACCUUUCAUGGAAGUGAGCGGAGCACGGUGCCGGUCGCCCGGGUGGGGUGGGUCGGGGGCCGGCAGCCAGCAGAGGAAACGCUGUAAUUUCAACCAGGCCCUCCCAAAGGCUAACGAAGACUUGGGGGUCAUUUUUUUGGAAGGGCUAUUAAUAACUUCGGAGAUUAAAUGCAGCCGUCAAUUACAUACACAUUACAAAGGGCUGCUGCUUUUAUUUCCCCUUUUGAAUGACCUACUGGACUGCAUUCUCCUGAGGAACAAAGGAAGUGCCUUUUUAGCUGGAAUCCUUGGAAGACCACCAAGGACUUUAGCUCAUGCAGUGCAAUUUCGCACCACUCUCAACAAUAACAAAAAUGCAUGACUGAAUGGCUCAAAAAUGUGGAGUGUUAGAGGCAUUCAUUUGAGUCUAGGGCACUGUCACAACACAGACAGACCCAAGUAAAUACCUUUAGAUGGCCAGUAUAGAAACAGGGGUAAUCUUUACCAUUGCCCUGGCCUCCCCACAUGCAUACAUUAGCCUCAUCUUCUCUGAGCUACAGGCACAUAAUUUUAGUCAUUUUUUGGGAGGUAGUCACUGGAGUGAUCUUUUUAGUCGAGGUCUGAAUGAACUGCCGGGCACUUUUUCCUUGGAGGGGACUAUGGAUAUAUUUUGGGGGAGUAGAUAGAUUUUAGUGCUGGAUUGUUUGCCAGGCAAAAAAGGCUACAAUGUCUAGGUGCCCAGCUCGUUGAACCCCAGGACUAGCCCAAGUUUAAGGUUUAUUCUCCCGAUUACCUUGUACUUAUCUUCCAGAGGUUUGAGCAGGCUUUAAGAAUACUGUUUUGAAAGGGCUCAGUCAUCAUAAAUCAUAAUUAAGAUAAUUUGAUGUCCUUUCAAGGGUGUCUGUGAGGACAUCAUGCUGACAGGGCUUCUGACCAAGGCCCUGCAUUGCCUGUCGUCUUGACCCCUGUUCUUCUCAGAUAACGGGGAGCCCUGAUACCAUGAUCAAAAGGGACCUGUAACACAAAGGAUAAGUUUUUCCCCCAGCUUUCAAGGGGCAUAUCAUUUUGGAAUGUCUGUAUGUGCAGUAUUCUGUGCUUGGCAUUAUGGAGGUAGGAAGGAGGGCAGGUAGGGCUCCUGCCACCCAGGGACUGUAGGGUAGUAGGUAGGUAAGCAUGCACUUAUAUAAUUGGAAUACAACCCUGACUAUGAGAAGUACUACAUGACCGGUACAGAGGAGAAGGGAGUGCCCUGGGGAGUUCCAAGGAAGAAAGGAUUUGGGAAGGGAAUGUUAACUGGGUAAUCCUAGUUCAUUAGUUAAAAAAAAAAAAUUGAUAAUAAGAAAUUUGAAAAUCCCAACCAUUUCAUUGGACUUCCCUCCAUUAAAGAUAGAAGAUAAGGAUAGGCAAUUGUUGGCAGUAAUUGGCGACAAGUCUGAUAUUUGCUGAAAUUGACUUUAAGAGUGAUGAGUCAGGUUAGAAGCUUUUCUGAGCUUGCCAGAGGUCCCCUUCACAGUGACUCUGAAUGAUGCCCAGGAGGAUUUUGUGUCACUAGUUGUGUUUCUGGGGUUUUAGUUUCCUGCUCCCAUUUAUGUUCAUGACCAUGCGUCUGUGAGCAUGGGGGAACAUACACCUUAUACCUCAAGGGAUUCUGGGAAUCAGAUGAGCUAUGUUAGGAUUGCCUGGGGGAAAAAAGUGCACAUUUGUUUGGGAGAGGUAGCGUUACUUUCCAUUCUGAUACUGAGUUGAUUAUUGCAUGAAAGACACAAAGGAAAUGUCUAAAAGAUUUGUAUUCCCCCUUCCCCACCUUACAUAGUAGGGUUGGAUUUUGGAAUGCACUUGUGAACUGUUCUGUUGGAAUCCAACAGUUUGGCUUGCUGUAUUUUACUUGAGAGGAGAAGGCUUAAUUGAGCCACAGGAUCUGUUGCCAUAGAAAUUACCCCAAGUGUACAGGAACCAUCUCCCGGACAUGUUCAAAGAAGACCUUAGUAAAAGUGUUCUGGCUUACUCAGCUCCAUCUCUAGUUAGAGCACCCAAACAUAAAAUGUUUGACUCAGUAGAAGUAAUAUUUUCCUUUUUUAUUUGAUUCACAUGGAAUCACACUCAAUUUUAGGAUUAACUGGAGACUAGCCUAAGGAAUGGAAAAGGAGGUUUGUUGUCUCUACAAGGGAAACAUCAGUCUUCAUCUAAGACUGCUGGAAAUAAGUUAGUUGCUCUGGCAUCCCAAUAACAUCAU
This is a long non-coding RNA of Dasypus novemcinctus (nine-banded armadillo), 2485 nucleotides long. Lineage: Eukaryota; Metazoa; Chordata; Mammalia; Cingulata; Dasypodidae. The record is from Ensembl.